CGAGACAUAAAGCCCUUAAAUUGAAUUGAAUUGAAUUGUAGAGAGUGAGAGAGAGAAAUGUAGAGAGAGAGAUAUGUAGAGAGAGAGAUAUAGAGAGAUGUAGAGUGAGAGAUGUAGAGAAAGAGAGAAAGAUGUAGAGAGUGAGAGAUGUAGAGAGAGAGAGAUGUAGAGAGAGAGAUGUAGAGUGAGAGAUGUAGAGAGAGAGAGAUGUAGAGAGAUGAAGAGUGAGAGAUGUAGAGUGAGAGAUGUAGAGAGAGAGAGAGAUGUAGAGAGAGGUGUAGAGAGAGAGAGAUGUAGAGAGAGAGAUGUAGAGAGAGAGAUGUAGAGAGAGAGAUGUAGAGAGAGAGAUGUAGAGAGAUGUAGAGAGAUGUAGAUAGAGAGAGAUGUAGAGAGAGAUGUGGAGAGAUGUAGAUAGAGAGAUGUAGAGAGAGAUGUGGAGAGAUGUAG
This 447-nucleotide long non-coding RNA is filed under the name Salmo salar (Atlantic salmon). RNAcentral's name for it is "lncRNA (ENSSSAG00000118217.1)". The record is from RNAcentral. Lineage: Eukaryota; Metazoa; Chordata; Actinopteri; Salmoniformes; Salmonidae.